Molecule: ribosomal RNA, 486 nt
Filed under: uncultured bacterium
Lineage: Bacteria
Description: partial 16S ribosomal RNA
Rfam family: Bacterial small subunit ribosomal RNA
Source: RNAcentral
AUUGAACGCUGGCGGCAUGCCUUACACAUGCAAGUCGAACGGCAGCACGGGUGCUUGCACCUGGUGGCGAGUGGCGAACGGGUGAGUAAUACAUCGGAACAUGUCCUGUAGUGGGGGAUAGCCCGGCGAAAGCCGGAUUAAUACCGCAUACGAUCUACGGAUGAAAGCGGGGGACCUUCGGGCCUCGCGCUAUAGGGUUGGCCGAUGGCUGAUUAGCUAGUUGGUGGGGUAAAGGCCUACCAAGGCGACGAUCAGUAGCUGGUCUGAGAGGACGACCAGCCACACUGGGACUGGGACACGGCCCAGACUCCUACGGGAAGCAGCAAUGGGGAAUUUUGGACAAUGGGCGAAAGCCUGAUCCAGCAAUGCCGCGUGUGUGAAGAAGGCCUUCGGGUUGUAAAGCACCUUUGUCCGGAAAGAAAUCCUUGGCCCUAAUACGGUCGGGGGAUGACGGUACCGGAAGAAUAAGCACCGGCUAACUACGUG